AAUUGGUAUUUAAUUGGUGCCUUGAAGGAAAGGUAUAAUGAUUUUAACAUUGUCUCAUUUGUAUUUUUAGAAAAAUUUAAAUAAUAGUCAAGAUGCUAUUUGAAACUUAUAAGACGAAAAGACCCCAAAACCUUUACUAUACAAUAAGUUACAAAAUAAAGUAAAUUAAUUUUGGUAGUUUAACUGGGAAGGUUAUCUUUUAUAAAAACAAAGAGAAUUAAAAUUAAUUACUUAAAUACUAGUAUUAAAUAAAAAUUGUUUAUAAAAAAUAUUAACAAUAAAAAUAUUUGAAAAUAAGAUCAUCUGAGUGAUAUAUUUGAUAAGGUACUUUGGGGAUAACAGCGUUAUCUAGAAAAAGAGAAGACAUCAACUUCUAGGUUUGCGACCUCGAUGUUGAAUUGGGAUAUCCGUUAGAUAGCAAAAGUUUAAAAUGGUUAGAUUGUUCAUCUAUUAAAAUCUUACAUGAUUUGAGUUCAUUCC
This 480-nucleotide ribosomal RNA is filed under the name Benthocodon sp. T894SS1. RNAcentral describes it as "partial large subunit ribosomal RNA". It matches the Rfam family "Bacterial large subunit ribosomal RNA", at positions 1967 to 2617 of the family's 2925-position model. Lineage: Eukaryota; Metazoa; Cnidaria; Hydrozoa; Trachymedusae; Rhopalonematidae. The record is from RNAcentral.